AUGUGGCGAUCUGUGAGAGGAUUAUGGAGGCGGAGUAACCACAUAAAAAGAGAAGUGCAGAGACCAUGAAAAAGGGUUGUUGAUUCUUUUUGGUCGUUCGUUCUUCCGGCUAUUCUUCCGGGUUGGCUUGCCCCAGUGUGUGGUUCUUCUCUUUGGAUGUGUUCCCCUAGGAGAGGUGAAUUCCUGGGACGUUUGGGCUGGCGUGUGGAGGUAUUGAGGACUAUUGUGGGGUUUCGGCUAUCUGCUGUGCAACAGAUAUAUCAGCGAUCGAGUGGAGAUAUUCAGGACAGAAAGAGUGUGAGUUCUGGAAAGCAAGUGAAGACCAGACCGCGCCAUCGCUAUCGGAGGGAAGUUAAGAGACCUGAUCUGGGACUUCGAUCAAUUGUAUACAUCUGGACUGGGAGUGAUAACGUUGUGAAGUGGACGGAGUCAUCGUUGGAUCGCAGGAUCCUUUGGGCCGAACGCCGCAUGUGAUGUCCCUAUGAAAAGAGGUGGACACACGAAUUAUUCCUUUCCCGGUCUUAACCGAAGCAUCUCCCAGCCGUAAGCCCCACUACUUAUUCAAGAAACACAUACUUGUUGUGAUUACUUACUCUGCUGUGCAGAUCGCAGGGAUCCUCUGGGCCGAAUGCCGCAUGUGAUGUCCCUAUGAAAAGAGGUGGACACAAGAAUUAUUCCUUUCCCGGUCACAACCGAAGCCUCUCCCAGCCGUAAGCCCCGCUACUUAUUCAAGAACGCAUACUUGCUGUUGAUUACCUACUCUGCUGUGCAGAUCGCAGGAUCCUCUGGGCCGAAUGCUGCAUGUGAUGUCCCUGUAGAAAGAGGUGGACACACGAAUUAUUCCUUUCCCGGUCUUAACCGAAGCAUCUCCCAGCCGUAAGCCCCACUACUUAUUCAAGAACGCAUACUUGCUGUUGAUUCCUACUCUGCUGUGCAGAUCGCAGGAUCUCUGGGCCGAAUGCUGCAUGUGAUGUCCCUGUAAAAGAGGUGGACACGAGAAUUAUUCCUUUUCCCGGUCUCGACCG
This 1025-nucleotide long non-coding RNA is filed under the name Carassius auratus (goldfish). RNAcentral describes it as "lncRNA (ENSCARG00000026960.1)". The record is from RNAcentral. Lineage: Eukaryota; Metazoa; Chordata; Actinopteri; Cypriniformes; Cyprinidae.